UAAAGUCAUUUAUGAGGAGAAAAGAGAGAAAAAAUAAUGAAUUAAUUAACAAUUGUAAUUUUUUUUACCCACUUGUGAUUAAUAUGAUUUUUUUUUUUUAAGAGAUAGAUAAUACGCUACCCGCUUCGUUUAUUUUAUUUAGAAAUAAACUUAGCUGGAAAUGUGAAUCAACUAGGAUUCGAACUUGGAUCUCGGGUACCAACCACCAAGCCUUUUGCCACUUGCUCUAGGGAUGGUCGGUAUUAGUGUGAAAAUUUUUGAUAAAACAAAUUACAAAGUGGACUAACUACAAGUUCAAAAUUAUUGAAAAACAAAUGUUACCUAAUUUUGAAUUACAAGUUCAAAAUUAUUGAAAAACAAAUUUUACCUAAAUUUUGAAUUACAAGUUCAAAAUUAUUAAAAAACAAAUUUUACCUAAAUUUUAAUUCAAUUCGUUUAUUUUAUUUAGAAAUAAACUUAACUGAAAAUAUGAAUUAACUAGGAUUCGAACUUAGAACCUCAUGUACCAACCAUCAAAUCUUUUGCCACUUAUUUUAGAGACGGUCAGUUACAUCAAUUACAUAGAGAUAUUUUUAACUUGAAAAACAGUUACGGGCAAACAAACACAUACCUAGAUAGGACUGAUUUUCAACAACUGCAAGCAUGCCUUUUCUCCUCUCUAAUCUUUAAGGGUAAGAUAAGAAGAAUUCGCUACACCAUAAAAGAGAGAGCAGCAAUGGGCAUACAUUUUAUCUCCCGGCCAGCAAAAAGGAAGACUGCUGCACGAGACAUCUUUCGCAUAUAAUAUCUGGUCGCUGGCAAUUAUGAUACGUAUCUCACGCUUUAAACAGGAGCCAGCUAAGCACAAUGAUUCGACACAGAACGUCACAAAAUUGAUCGUAGCAUGCUUUUAUCUCCGUUCCAUUCUUUUCUCUCUCCCAAACGAGAAGUUCAACCUGGCCACUGAUUCAAAGUUCGACUAACUUCGCACUAACAAAAUUUCUCUAUCACCUGUUUUGAUGGAUGAAUGAGGCAUUAAUCAGAAGUAUUAAAAUAAGUUAUAGAGCUGCCCAAUAUAUACGCUCUCAACGGAAGUAACAACAAUAAUCUCCUAAA
This 1095-nucleotide long non-coding RNA is filed under the name Ananas comosus (pineapple). Its description in RNAcentral is "long non-coding RNA (ACOM_LNC010940)". The record is from RNAcentral. Lineage: Eukaryota; Viridiplantae; Streptophyta; Magnoliopsida; Poales; Bromeliaceae.